GCCGAAAUAGCUCAGUUGGGAGAGCGUUAGACUGAAGAUCUAAAGGUCCCUGGUUCGAUCCCGGGUUUCGGCAGGGCUUUUGCUGACACAGCCCAGGACAGAACAGGUUUCUGCUCCCUUGCGUAGUCUCUCCUGUGCCCCCGGGCGCGCCUGCACAGGGGCCCUGCGGCUCUCUUAGCGCGCAUGCCCACCCCCCGCGCCUGCGCAGAGGCUUGGUGGAUGGAUGGGUGGGUGUCUAUUAGCGCGUGUACCCUCUCCCGCGCGUGCGCAGCGGCAGUGCGGGUCUCUCAGCGCCUGUGCCCUCCUCCGCGCGUGCGCACCGGCCAUGCGGAUCUCAGCGCGCGCCCCCGGGAGGCGAAGGUGCUUCCAUUCAGCACUUGGAGGGUAGUGCGGGGUUGGGCCUCGUCGCGAAGCCCCGAGGGGUGGAGAGCCCCUCACCCGGUCUGAGACCGCACACUAAGCUCCUUAGUGUUUGUUCCCAGUGCCGUCAGCUCGCAGGGCUGGCAAGUUUUUCUCGUAGGUGACAGACGUGCCGACAGCCUUAAAAACGUUUGUCUAUACAGCCAGACCCGAAAGCCAGGGCCCCGUCGGCGGGUCAGAAAUCUGGUGAAGGAUGGUUCCCAGCCGGAGAUGUGACUCAUAAGCACGUGCCUCUGAAAGAGUGCUUGGAACCUGUUUUCUCACCGCUCCUUCAAUAAACGGGGCGUGAACGAUUGCUUAGGGCAAAACAAUGCGCAGUCACCGCCGAGAGCAUUACUGUCAGGACUGACGACGGGGGUGCGGUUUUCUUGGUUAUGGGUCUACUGAUGUUCCGGAUAUAAAAGCGUUCAUCGAGAGCCUGCCGCUCUCCAGCCUUUAAGCAAACUUAGGCUGCAAAGACCCAGUCCUGGUCCUCAGUGCGGCGACAAGACACGCUACCAGAAGCACCCAAUCAAUCGCCUUGACGGUGGGAAACUGGCUUUUGCAGCGUUACCCCGCCGACACCAGAAGGCUGAGGAGGAUGUGAAGGCCUUCGGUCCUUUGGGAGCCCCGCCAUCCCCAGUUUUCGUGGACUUGCAGCCUGCUGGAAUCUCCUGGUUUAUUCAGACAGGCCCACGGACCCUCAGAUUCAGAACAUGGCCCCUUGUACUGUGGCUGCGUCCUGUCCCUGAGUGCUGACCUUGGGCAGAGGUAGUAAAGGGACCAGAGCAGGGUCUGAGGGUUUGGUAAUCACAACUGAUGGUGGCUUGGAGGCUUCACCAAGUCCAGAGAAUAUGUCCCUGCCCAGUGCUUUCCAAGCUCUUUUCACUGAAGCACCUGCUAAUAUCUAUGUUUUAUUUCCAUCAAGACCACUAUACUCAAGUACAUAUCCAAAAUAAAGGUUUGAGGAAACAGUGCUUUUUUAUUAUUUGAAGAAUUCUGUGCUUUUUUUAUGCUCCCCAAGACUAUUCAAUUUCAUUAGCAACAACAACAAAAAAUGCAUGUGCAGACCUACUGAUGACAGCAUACCCCUUAGAGUUUCUGCAGUGUGAAAAACACUGACCUGGAGCAGGGCGCCCAAAGGGUGGUGGGACACGGGCCGCUCACACCAGGACCACCCGGAGGUGGGUGUGGGCUCCUGGUAUCUAUGACAACUCUCGAAUCUCCUGGAGAUGGUGCCUGGGACUUGGCAUUUUAACUACAUGGCUAGGUGAUUCUAUGCCCACUGAGGUUUGGGAACCACUGGCCCGGGAGCACAUAGGCUGCUCCUAGCAGAGGUUUCCAACUGAUCUGUGGAGCCCUGAGGACUAGAGUGGAUGCAUCUCUGGGAGACAUCUACAGACUGCUCCUCUUGAUCUGUGUAAGAAUUCAUGAGCAAAGUCGCUUCUGCUUCUCAAAGAAAGAUCUGAAAUUUGGGGGAAAGAAAAUGCAUGUGAUAGGGUUUUGAGGCUUCGUCUCCGGAAAUAAAAAUCUCAGUUAAGUUCUGUCUGCCAAAGGGAGAAUCAUGGAAAGGGAAUGGCUCCCUUUAGUGGUAAGGAAACAUUAUAGAACAUUUUGCUUCGUAGACACUGGUCUUAAUUCAAGAGGAGCCUCUUUAGAAAUACAGCUUCCCAAUGUGGGAGAUAUUGAACAGUUUAGCAAAAACUUAAGUAUCUUGUAUUAGAAUCCAUAUGUUGAAAGAUUGUUGUCAAACAAGACAUGCUUAUCACCUUGAAGGAGAAGAAACAUAUUUUUUUGGAAAUGGAUUUUAAUGUAUACCACUUGUCUCUAAAGUACCAUAGUCUUUUUUUAAAAAGAUUUUAUUUAUUUAUUUAGAGAGAGAGAGCGAGCUGGGGGAGGGGCAGGUGGAGAGAGAGAAUUUCAAGCAGACUCCAUGCUCAGUGUGGAGCUGGACAUGGGGCUUGAUCUCAGUAUCCUGAGAUCAUGACCUGAGCUGAAAUCAAGAGUUGGACACUUAACCGAGCCACCCAGGUGUCCCUAAAGUAUCAUAGUCUUAGGGUGCCUGGCUGGCUCAAUUGGAAGAGUAUGCAACUCUUGAUCUCCGGGUUGUGAGUGCGAGUCCCAGGUUGGGUUUAGAGAUUAUUUAAAUAAAUAAAUAAAUCUUAAAAAAAAAAAAAUACCAUAGCCUUUUGGAACACUGUAAUUAAUUGUCUCUUACAAGUGCGUGUGUGUGUAUGUGUGUGUUUUAAAAUGAACUACAUGUUAUAUAUUUUUUCCUUGUACUAAGCAGUCUAUAUGUAGGCACACAUAUGUGUAUAUAAGGACACACAUACACACAUAAACAUAUUUUUUUGUCUUGUGAAUCCUCAAUUCAUUAUUUGCCUCUAGAAAGUAAAGACUAAAUGCUAAAAAAAAGUAUAAGGAAGGGAAGUUUAAUUUUUAAGAAAAGCAUGACUUUUUUGUAAUAAAAAAUGAUUUGUAAGUGGGGUGGGAGGGUGAGCAAAAUAGGUGAAGGGGAUUAAGAGUUACAAACUUCCAGUUAUAGAAUGAAUAAGUCACUGAGAUGAAAAGUACAGUGUAGGGAGUACAGUCAAUAAUGUUGUAAUAACUUCACAUGGUGACAGGUGGUGAGUACACCUAUUGUGAUGAGCAUUGUUUAAUGUACAGAAUUGUGGAAUCACUAUGCGGUGCACCUGAAACUAAUAUAACAUUGUAUAUCAAACAUACUUAAAUAAUAAAAAUUUUUAAAAAUGAUUUACAAGGAAGAAAAUAUCUAUUACUGUUGACAAAAGAGCAUACUGGUUAGGGCAGAAUGUGAUUCUGUAUUCUGGUUGAAAGAGAAUUUUGAAUUGUUCUUGCUGUUUUUGAUACCUGAGUAAUUAGAUAUAAAAGUCGAGGCUGAAGUCAAAAGUGAGGUGAAUGAUUUUAAUUCUAGGCAGGAAGUCAUAACCACCCCAAAGAAGCAAAUGCAGAUUUUCAAAAGAUCUUCAAACUUUAGUAAAGCACCCACGAGUCCAGGAUCUGGCAUAAGCAAAUGUGAAUUUUGUUAAUAAUGUCUGCCUUGCUUUGCCAUACUGAUAUGUUCCAUCCUUCCAUACCUGGGUCUUUCGGGCUACCUUUGACAGCUUGGGCUUGGACUCAUCCCUCACAUCCACCCACCGCAGCUUUUCUGUUCUACAUCUGCUGUACUCUAGGAGGACACUUGGUGCCUUUGACUAAUCCAAUAAACCAUCUGAAAUUAAUCCCCAGAGAGGUACCACUGAGAAUAGAUUCAGAGAUGUCCCCUCUCCACCAUCAGCACCAGCAGAUUGUUAUGGCCAUCCAGAGAUGUAUCUAACUUCCGAAGUGGUGGCAUUCUAUCUAACUUGUCCCUUCUGAACCGUGUCUAACUAAUGAAAUAUUCCAAGAGUAGGGAUUUGGGGCCAGCACCAGGGGAGGAACACUAGGCAGUGAUAGAGAUGUUUGGGAUUGGCUAUAUUUUGAAGCAGGUUUCCCUUGCUUGUGUUUUUCUCAGAAUCAGGCUAUGUACAUGGCUCUUUACUUCCCUUACUUCACAUAUCCAUCAGAGAUUGCAUGGGAAAUAAGACUGGGAUCAAAAUGCAAUCCAAAUUUUAGUUGACUACCAAUUUCAUCUAUUUUCUUGACAAAAAAAUAGGCUGCCAGGAGACCAACUCAAAUAUGAUAUUGUUUUCUAUACUCUUAAAGAGGAGGCCUAGAUAAUGAAAAGUCAUUGAUUCUUCAG
Long non-coding RNA from Mirounga angustirostris (Northern elephant seal), 4141 nucleotides. RefSeq lists it as uncharacterized. The record is from RefSeq and is a predicted model, not a curated record. The transcript is spliced from 3 exons. NCBI's taxonomy places the organism in Eukaryota, Metazoa, Chordata, Mammalia, Carnivora, Phocidae.